UACGGGGGGGGUAAGCGUUGUUCGGAAUUACUGGGCGUAAAGGGCUCGUAGGCGGCCAACUAAGUCAGACGUGAAAUCCCUCAGCUUAACUGGGGAACUGCGUCUGAUACUGGAUGGCUUGGAUUUGGGAGAGGAAUGCGGAAUUCCAGGUGUAGCGGUGAAAUGCGUAGAUAUCUGGAGGAACACCGGUGGCGAAGGCGGCAUUCUGGACCAAUAUUGACGCUGAGGAGCGAAAGCCAGGGGAGCAAACGGG
This 253-nucleotide ribosomal RNA is filed under the name uncultured bacterium. RNAcentral describes it as "partial 16S ribosomal RNA". It matches the Rfam family "Bacterial small subunit ribosomal RNA", at positions 524 to 776 of the family's 1533-position model. The record is from RNAcentral.